This 356-nucleotide unclassified non-coding RNA is filed under the name soil metagenome. RNAcentral describes it as "partial contains 5.8S ribosomal RNA, internal transcribed spacer 2, and large subunit ribosomal RNA". The stretch from base 6 to 121 matches the Rfam family "5.8S ribosomal RNA", at positions 39 to 154 of the family's 154-position model. The record is from RNAcentral.
GAUGAAAGAACGUAGUGAAAUGCGAUAAGUAAUGUGAAUUGCAGAAUUCAGUGAAUCAUCGAAUCUUUGAACGCACAUUGCGCCCAUUAGUAUUCUAGUGGGCAUGCCUGUUCGAGCGUCAUUAAGUCCACUUAAGCCCUGCUUAGUGUUGGGAGACUGCUCCAGCGGUGCUACCCUGUAGCUACCCUGCAGCUCCUCAAAGACAGCGGCGGAGUUGUGGUAUCCUCUGAGCUUAGUAACUUGUUCUAGCUUUCGAGUACACCACUUCCCCUGCCGUAAAACCCUUAAUUUUUAAUGGUUGACCUCGGAUCAGGUAGGAAUACCCGCUGAACUUAAGCAUAUCAAUAAGCGGAGGA